GGACGAACGCUGGCGGCGUGCCUAACACAUGCAAGUCGAACGGGACCAGGGGCAACUCUGGUUCAGUGGCGGACGGGUGCGUAACACGUGAGGAACAUGACCUUCGCGGGGGAGUAGCCGGCCCGAACGGCCGGGUAAUACCGCGUACGACCUUCCGGGGACAUCCCUGGAUGGUGAAAGACAGCAAUGCGCCGAUGGAGUGCCUCGCGGCCUAUCAGCUAGUUGGUGAGGUAACGGCUCACCAAGGCAACGACGGGUAGCUGGUCUGAGAGGAUGGCAGCCACAUUGGGACUGAGACACGGCCCAGAC
Molecule: ribosomal RNA, 309 nt
Filed under: uncultured bacterium
Lineage: Bacteria
Description: bacterial SSU rRNA
Rfam family: Bacterial small subunit ribosomal RNA
Source: RNAcentral